CCCCGUUUCAGUUGGUUAUCUUUGUAACUGUAAAAUCGAUGCAGCAGCCCCCCUGAAUAACUCGCUUUUAGAAAUAAGAAGAAAUAGCCUACUGCUCGCUAUCACUGCGACAGGUUUCUGCACUUUGAUAGUUGGUGGUGUAACUCACUAUCCGAAGAUCCUGCGCGUGGCAAAGAUAACCUCCCUCAAGACAGUGCCUUUACCCUUUGAGCCCCAUUCACACCUGCGACAGCUAAGAACAAGUGCAAGCGAAAGUACUGGGGCAACGGGGUCUGACACAGUGAUUAAGACUGGGGAGAGGUCGAGAGGCAGAGUCACAUUGUUGGUGUUACACCAAUCAGAGGCAAGGCAGAGGUCAUGGGCAUGUCUGGAGGCAGGACACACCCUAAGUGGCAGAGAUGAUGGUCUCUACCUGCUGCACCACCUAGGCCAAAAUCUCUCUGGUCAGAUUACCAACUCACAUCUUAUGAUGAUCCCAUUGUCUCAUUUUCUCUCAUCUCCUUCCAUUCUCAUCUUCUCCAGCUUUCAUCUUCUCCAAAUCUCAUUUUCCUCGUCCUUGGCCAAAACAACCCAUAGCCCCUUCCCAGCAUGGUGGCUGGUGGCACUUUAAAUCGGAGGACAGACUCAUAAUAAUGGCUGGAACAGAAUCAAUUGAAUGGUAUUAUCAAACAUAUGGAAACCAUGUGUUUGAUACCAUUCCAUUCACUCAGUUCCAGCCAUUAUUAGGAGCUGUCUUCCCCUCACCACCCUCCUCUGCCCCUUCCCCCAACUAGCACCUUCCACUUUUAUGUGUUUGCAGAUCUGAAGGAGUCAGACAGGUAUAGCAAUAUAGAGGAAGCUCCCCUGGGUCUAUUGGAGGGCUAGGUGUAGGAAACAUCAUUUUGUUUGUACGCCUAUUCAUCUCCAUUUCGUCAGAGCCCAUCGUUUCUCUCUCUCUCUCUCACACACACACACACACACACACACACACACACACACACACACACACACACACACACACACACACACACACACACACACACACACACACACACACACACACACACACACACACACACACACACACACACACACACACACACACACACACACACACACAAUUCACACAACUCUAGGAUAAAAAAGUUCCCUUGUACCAGCAACAACAAAAAAGGUUCUGGCCAUGAUAUUUAUUACAUUUCCAAUUACUUGUGGUCACCAACUGGUCGAUCACGAUCAACUGGUCGAUCUCCAAUGAAAUUAUAAUGCUCAUUUACAGUAGCUGUGCCUCACAAGUAAUACAACAAAUGAUCUAUUACCAGUACGAUCGUAUAGUUUAAAUGGUAUAUCAUUUCUAAAUGGUCUGAGAAGAACAAUAUUGCCAGUGCAGUUCAAGCAUAGACAAUAUGCUAUUUUAAUUGGUUAAUGUUGCAUAGGCUUACGAUUUGUAAGUAACGUUUAGAAAAAUCUGAGCAGUAGAUCUCGGCAUGCCGUUUGACUCAGAAAGUAAUCUUGACCCAGAAAAGGUUGGUGACCACUGUUCUAUAGCAUAGACCCUAGGGCAGUGGUCACCAACCGGUCUAUCGUGAUUGACUGGUUGAUCUCCAAGCCAUUCCUAGUUAAUCACCAAACAUUUCCGUAAAAAAAAACAACAAUAAAGCCUCCCUCCCCUCAGACUGACCAUCAGAUGCUCACUUAGCUGUUUCUCACAAGUAAUACAACAAAUGAU
This is a long non-coding RNA of Oncorhynchus gorbuscha (pink salmon), 1708 nucleotides long. RefSeq lists it as uncharacterized. The record is from RefSeq and is a predicted model, not a curated record. NCBI's taxonomy places the organism in Eukaryota, Metazoa, Chordata, Actinopteri, Salmoniformes, Salmonidae. The transcript has 3 exons.